GGCCCUGAGGAGCCAGUUUGGGGGCCCCAGGACCCUUUUGGGGGCCUCACGAGCCAUUUGGGGGCCUCACGAGCCACUUUGGGGCCCCAGGACCCAAUUUGGGGGCCUCACGAGCCACUUUGGGGCCCCACAUCCCAGUUUGGGGGCCUCACGAGCCACUUUGGGGGCCCCACAUCCCAGUUUGGGGACCUCAUGAGCCAGUUUGGGGGCCCCACAUCCCAGUUUGGGGGCCUCACAAGCCACUUUGGGGGCCCCAGGACCCAGUUUGGGGCCCCACAUCCCAGUUUGGGGGCCUCACAAGCCACUUUGGGGGCCCCAGGACCCAGUUUGGGGCCCCACAUCCCAGUUUGGGGGCCUCACAAGCCACUUUGGGGCCCCAUAUCCCAGUUUGGGGGCCUCACAAGCCAGUUUGGGGCCCCAGGAACCACUUUGGGGGCCCCAGGACCCAGUUUGGGGGCCCCACAUCCCAGUUUGGGGGCCUCAUGAGCCACCCCUGCGCAGGUUAAUUAGCAGCUGGUUUCAGAGGUGGUGCCCCUGAGGAAGAGGAGGAGGAAGAGCCCCAGUGGGGCUCGGGGAAGGUGGGGGGCAGCUGCCCUGCGUGGGGGCACCAGGCUCGUUAAAGCCUGGCCCUGCUCCUUAGCCAGGGCAGUGCAGGGGGCUGGGGUCCACCUUUUGGGGUAACAGGGACCCCUUUUGGGGCAAAAGGGUCUCAUUUUAGAGUGAGGGUCCCUUAGGGGGCUGAGGGUCCCCUUUCAGGGUGAUAGGGUCCCCUUUUGGGGUGACAGGGUCCCCUUUUGGGGCAGAAGGGUCUCAGAGUGAUAGGGUCCCUUAGGGGGCUGAGGGUCCCCUUUUGGGGGGCUGGGGUCCCCUUUUGGGGCAACAGGGUCUCAUUUGAGGGUGAUAGGGUCCCCUUUUGGGGCGACAGGGUCCCCUUUUGGGGUGACAGGGUCUCAUUUGAGGGUGAUAGGGUCCCCUUUUGGGGUGACAGGGUCCCCUUUUGGGGCAAAAGGCUCUCAUUUGAGGGUGAUAGGGUCCCUUAGGGGGCUGAGGGUCCCCUUUUGGGGGGCUGGGGUCCCCUUUUGGGGCAAAAGGCUCUCAUUUGAGGGUGAUAGGGUCCCCCUUUGGGGGGCUGGGGUCCCCUUUUGGGGCAAAAGGCUCUCAUUUGAGGGUGAUAGGGUCCCCUUUUGGGGGGCUAGGGUCCCCUUUUGGGGCAAAAGGCUCUCAUUUGAGGGUGAUAGGGUCCCCUUUUGGGGGGCUGGGGUCCCUUUUGGGGUGAUAGGGUCCCCUUUUGGGGGGCUGGGGUCCCCUUUUGGGGUGAUAGGGUCUCAUUUGAGGGUGAUAGGGUCCCCUUUUGGGGGGCUGGGGUCCCCUUUUGGGGCAAAAGGCUCUCACUUGAGGGUGAUAGGGUCCCCUUUUGGGGGGCUGGGGUCCUCUUUUGGUGCAAAAGGCUCUCAUUUGAGGGUGAUAGGGUCCCCUUUUGGGGGGCUGGGGUCCCCUUUUGGGGCAAAAGGCUCUCACUUGAGGGUGAUAGGGCCCCCUUUUGGGGGGCUGGGGUCCCCUUUUGGGGCGAUAGGCUCUCAUUUGAGGGCGAUAGGGUCCCCUUUUGGGGGGCUGGGGUCCCCUUUUGGGGCAAAAGGCUCUCAUUUGAGGGUGAUAGGGUCCCUUAGGGGGCGAUAGGGUCCCCUUUUGGGGGGCUGGGGUCCCCCAGGCUCAUCGGCCCCUCUGUUUGCGGCGAAGCCCCACGCGGGGAGCCCGGGCGCUCCUGGUCCGCAGGCGGCGACGAGCCGGGCUGGCGGUGGGGAGCAGGAGCGGGGAGGCGGGGCGGGGGGGGAAACCAGCGCAGAGAAAGAACCGGCGCCAGGGAGGGGUUUGUUAAAAAUUUUGAGUUUAUUUUACCGGAAAAGUGGGGUCGGGGAACGCUAAACGCCGCAGGGCGAGCGCCGAACACGGGCAGCCUUCCCACGCCGGCGCGGCGCAGGGGCAGCCCGGCGCGGCGGCCUCGAGUCAGCUACGGUAUUUCGUAUUAAAAAGCUACGAGUGGAUUAUUCACCCUCUUAAAAAAUAAAAGGAAAAAAAAAAAAGAAA
Non-coding RNA from Phalacrocorax carbo (great cormorant), 2085 nucleotides. The record is from RefSeq and is a predicted model, not a curated record. NCBI's taxonomy places the organism in Eukaryota, Metazoa, Chordata, Aves, Suliformes, Phalacrocoracidae.